AGAGCGAACGCUGGCGGCAGGCCUAAUACAUGCAAGUCGAACGGAUCCUUCGGGAUUAGUGGCGGACGGGUGAGUAACACGUGGGAACGUACCCUUUGGUUCGGAACAACUCAGGGAAACUUGAGCUAAUACCGAAAUGUGCCCUUCGGGGGAAAGAUUUAUCGCCAUUGGAGCGGCCCGCGUCUGAUUAGCUAGUUGGUAGGGUAAAGGCCUACCAAGGCUACGAUCAGUAGCUGGUCUGAGAGGAUGAUCAGCCACACUGGGACUGAGACACGGCCCAGACUCCUACGGGAGGCAGCAGUAGGGAAUCUUGCGCAAUGGGCGAAAAGCCUGACGCAGCCAUGCCGCGUGAAUGAUGAAGGUCUUAGGAUUGUAAAAUUCUUUCAGUCGGGGACGAUAAUGACGGUACCCGCAGAAGAAGCCCGGCUAACUUCGCGCCAGCAGCCGC
This 448-nucleotide ribosomal RNA is filed under the name uncultured bacterium. Its description in RNAcentral is "SSU rRNA". It matches the Rfam family "Bacterial small subunit ribosomal RNA", at positions 26 to 518 of the family's 1533-position model. The record is from RNAcentral.